RNAcentral lists this long non-coding RNA (383 nucleotides) under Coturnix japonica (Japanese quail). RNAcentral's name for it is "lncRNA (ENSCJPG00005000939.1)". Lineage: Eukaryota; Metazoa; Chordata; Aves; Galliformes; Phasianidae. The record is from RNAcentral.
AUGGUGACAAAGUGGUCCCAAAUCUCAAGGCUUUUUCCACCAAUUGAUCAAGCUGAACUCAAGUGGAGAACUGCUAUUUGGAGUUCUAUUUCUUGGGUGACCAGGUCUGUUCAUCUGGAAGAGAGGAAAGGAUGAAAGAAAGAGAAAUCACUGAGAAGUGCCUAUCAUGUGAAACAUGUAAUAUCUUACUUUCUUGUCCUACUAUAAUGCAUAAAGAAUGAGUAUUUUGGAUUUUAUUUAAUAUGGUAAGUAUAACACAGGGACCCAUGUGUCUGAGCAUAUUUAACUGUAUAAAUCUGUACCUUUCUGAGGAAAUCUCUAUAUUUUGAGUUAGGAAUCAAUGUAAUGCUAUUAAAUAAAGGCCCAAUUUUACUUUAUAUUCA